GACGAACGCUGGCGGCGUGCUUAACACAUGCAAGUCGAACGGAAAGGCCCUGCUUUUGUGGGGUGCUCGAGUGGCGAACGGGUGAGUAACACGUGAGUAACCUGCCCUUGACUUUGGGAUAACUUCAGGAAACUGGGGCUAAUACCGGAUAGGAGCUCCUGUUGCAUGGUGGGGGUUGGAUAGUUUCGGCGGUUGGGGAUGGACUGGCGGCUUAUCAGCUUGUUGGUGGGGUAGUGGCUUACCCAGGCUUUGACGGAUAGCCGGCCUGAGAGGGUGACCGGCCACAUUGGUACUGAGAGACGGCCCAGACUCCUACGGGAGGCAGCAGUGGGGAAUAUUGCACAAUGGGCGGAAGCCGGAUGCAGAAACGCCGCGUGCGGGAUGACGGCCUUCGGGUUGUAAACCGCUUUCGCCUGUGACGAAGCGUGAGUGACGGUAAUGGGUAAAGAAGCACCGGCUAACUACGUG
RNAcentral lists this ribosomal RNA (468 nucleotides) under uncultured bacterium. RNAcentral describes it as "partial 16S ribosomal RNA". It matches the Rfam family "Bacterial small subunit ribosomal RNA", at positions 28 to 507 of the family's 1533-position model. The record is from RNAcentral.